GCCGGGUGCAGUGGCUUAUACCUGUAAUCCCAGCACUUUGGGAGGCUGAGGCGGGAGGAUCGCUUGAGCCCAGGAGUUCAAGACCAGCCUGGGCAACACAGUGAGAUCCUGUCUCUA
This is an unclassified non-coding RNA of Macaca fascicularis (crab-eating macaque), 117 nucleotides long. It matches the Rfam family "Metazoan signal recognition particle RNA". From Rfam's summary of the family: The signal recognition particle (SRP) is a universally conserved ribonucleoprotein. NCBI's taxonomy places the organism in Eukaryota, Metazoa, Chordata, Mammalia, Primates, Cercopithecidae. The record is from Ensembl.